UACGUAGGGUGCGAGCGUUAAUCGGAAUUACUGGGCGUAAAGCGUGCGCAGGCGGCUUUGCAAGACAGAUGUGAAAUCCCCGGGCUCAACCUGGGAACUGCAUUUGUGACUGCAAGGCUAGAGUACGGAAGAGGGGGAUGGAAUUCCGCGUGUAGCAGUGAAAUGCGUAGAUAUGCGGAGGAACACCAAUGGCGAAGACAAUCCCCUGGGCCUGUACUGACGCUCAUGCACCAAAGCGUGGGGAGCAAACAGG
RNAcentral lists this ribosomal RNA (253 nucleotides) under uncultured bacterium. Its description in RNAcentral is "partial 16S ribosomal RNA". It matches the Rfam family "Bacterial small subunit ribosomal RNA", at positions 524 to 776 of the family's 1533-position model. The record is from RNAcentral.